Molecule: transfer RNA, 67 nt
Filed under: Rattus norvegicus (Norway rat)
Lineage: Eukaryota; Metazoa; Chordata; Mammalia; Rodentia; Muridae
Rfam family: tRNA
About the family: Transfer RNA (tRNA) molecules are approximately 80 nucleotides in length. Their secondary structure includes four short double-helical elements and three loops (D, anti-codon, and T loops). Further hydrogen bonds mediate the characteristic L-shaped molecular structure. tRNAs have two regions of fundamental functional importance: the anti-codon, which is responsible for specific mRNA codon recognition, and the 3' end, to which the tRNAs corresponding amino acid is attached (by aminoacyl-tRNA synthetases). tRNAs cope with the degeneracy of the genetic code in two manners: having more than one tRNA (with a specific anti-codon) for a particular amino acid; and 'wobble' base-pairing, i.e. permitting non-standard base-pairing at the 3rd anti-codon position.
Source: Rfam by way of RNAcentral
GGAUUUAGCUCAGUGGUAGAGCGUUUGCCUAGCAAGCGUGAGGCUCUGGGUUCGGUCCCCAGCUCCA